Molecule: non-coding RNA, 87 nt
Organism: Trametes punicea
Lineage: Eukaryota; Fungi; Basidiomycota; Agaricomycetes; Polyporales; Polyporaceae
Source: the annotation of a GenBank genome assembly
GUCCGCCUAGCUCAAUCGGAUAGAGCGUCAGACUCUUACCAACGGCGGGUUAUCUGAAGGCUGCGAGUUCGACCCUCGCGGUGGGCU